UACGUGGGGAGCAAGCGUUGUCCGGAAUCAUUGGGCGUAAAGAGCGUGUAGGCGGUCCGGUAAGUCCGUUGUGAAAGUCGAGGGCUCAACCCUCGAAUGCCGGCGGAUACUGUCGGACUAGAGUCCGGAAGAGGCGAGUGGAAUUCCUGGUGUAGCGGUGAAAUGCGCAGAUAUCAGGAGGAACACCAAUUGCGAAGGCAGCUCGCUGGGACGUUACUGACGCUGAGACGCGAAAGCGUGGGGAGCAAACAGG
RNAcentral lists this ribosomal RNA (253 nucleotides) under uncultured bacterium. RNAcentral's name for it is "partial 16S ribosomal RNA". It matches the Rfam family "Bacterial small subunit ribosomal RNA", at positions 524 to 776 of the family's 1533-position model. The record is from RNAcentral.